This is a long non-coding RNA of Herpailurus yagouaroundi (jaguarundi), 1550 nucleotides long. RefSeq lists it as uncharacterized. NCBI's taxonomy places the organism in Eukaryota, Metazoa, Chordata, Mammalia, Carnivora, Felidae. The transcript is spliced from 6 exons. The record is from RefSeq and is a predicted model, not a curated record.
UGUUGGGGCCAGGGUAAGGAGGAGAUAGAGGGCACUAGGCGUUACACAGAUACCACACAGUGGAUGAAAGCCUAAGUGGGGAGCGCACCCCUGAGGAAGAUUCUCUGGGUCACUCCUCUCAUACUCGUCUAACUCUGGAAAUAUUGGAUAUGGGUGUCCCUUCCAGCUCUUUCUACACCAUCCAAGACCCAGUCCUGGCUGGCCCUGCCUGGGACUUUGGUGCUCACCAGCAUCUGUGGAAUCCAGCCCGUGCUCUGGUUGGAUGGAGAAAAUGUACAUGGACCCGACAAAGCCACAGGGACACAACUAUAUGAGAGGGCCUCUUACAAAGGCCUCCAUCUAUUGGAGGCCCAGAUGGAGCCCAGAUAACUGGAGGCCCAGAUAACUCCUGAUCUCUCUAUACUCCGCACCUGCCAGGGUACCCCAUCUAUGGGCCUUAACUCCACACAGGUGCUGCUGGUUCUCAGGCUUUGGAUUCUGGAUUGGAACUGUACCACCAGCCCGCUUUCCCAGGCCUCCAGCUUGCAGAUGGCAGAUUGUGGAACUUCUUAGCCUCCAUAGUCAUCAGGAAUUGCUUUCUGCUGGAAGUUAAAAAUGGAACACAUCGCAGACCCAGAGCUCACCACCUGUAAGCUAGGUCUCCCCCUGGGGUUUGGGCCACAGAGCAUCGCAGGCACCGUUGAAUGAAUUGGACACAUAACACAGAGGUCUGCUCACUGCACGUAGGUUGGGAGGCUCAGUCACCACUGAAGCUAAGGAGAUGUGUUGAACUGUUGAAAUGAAUUCGUUCCUCAUCACGGAGGAAAAGAAAUCUUUGUUUAUGCUAAGCAGCAAAGAUUGUUAUCACAGAAUUGGCCUUUUGGGUUGGCAAACACUUUGAACGCCGUGCAAAGUCAUCCAUUAGAGUUAUGAAACAUUAUGGAGACAGUGAUCUGGCAGAGCGUUAUUUGGUCUUCUUUUCUGUGCUAGAAUUAGCUCUAGAACUGUAGCUGAUGGUCAGAGCCCUGUGAUGGAAAUUCUGUGAUGCUGAAAGCUGACUUUGUCGUUGACUUCAGCUCUGUGAAGGUAACCUUCCCCUGCUCAGUGCUCCUUUAUCUCUUCAUACAUACUUGCAGUGUGAAAGGUGAUCUGUGGUGCGACACAGGACUGGACAUCUAGCACAGUGACACCAGAGCCCCAAACUCCUGCAAAUAUCUGAACAGUUGUGCAAAGAUUGUUAAAACUCUUUGAAAAUGCCUACGUUUGUGAACAGUUCUUCUCAAUUAUUGAAGUCAAGGCUACCAGUCAAGGCUGAGUUCCGUGCUCGCGUGGAACUUGGUACAAGAUUUAAACAAUGAUGUGCUAAAGAAAAAGUCGCAGAUUUCUGGUUCCAAAACAAGAGUUAACAAAUUGUGAAAGAAAAUGUUAAAAGUAAAAUAUUUCUAUUUUAUGUUUUUUUUUUUUUUUCCAAUUUUGAAUUUAAGUUACCAUUGUCAAUAUCAGGUGUAUGCAUUAUGUGGUAUGGUUGUAAUCCUGGUUCAGAAAAAUAAAGUUUGAUUAUGCUUCUGGCA